CCAGAGCCAUACUUCAUAUACCUUUCCAGUUUCUGUUGCAGAACCAGCAUCUUCUCCUUCAAUUUCUUCAUUUCUUCUCUCUUUGUCUGAAUAAGCUCUUUGCUGCAGUAGAGGUACCUGUCCAUGUAAAUAGUCUGAGGGAACUCCAGCUUUGUGUGGAUUUUCUCUGGCUGUCCCAGGGAUUGGUUGAACUCAAAUCGGGAGAGUUCAAAGGUCAGCACAGGAGGGAGUUUGGUGAACCAGCGCUCCUGUACAUAUUUCACUGACUGAGUUGCUGUCUCCUCAUCCAUCUCUCCCUCCACCAUGGCUCCUUCCAAGCACUCAUUCAAG
This 330-nucleotide long non-coding RNA is filed under the name Gallus gallus (chicken). The record is from RNAcentral. Lineage: Eukaryota; Metazoa; Chordata; Aves; Galliformes; Phasianidae.